Long non-coding RNA from Hipposideros armiger (great roundleaf bat), 3077 nucleotides. RefSeq lists it as uncharacterized. The record is from RefSeq and is a predicted model, not a curated record. The transcript is spliced from 2 exons. NCBI's taxonomy places the organism in Eukaryota, Metazoa, Chordata, Mammalia, Chiroptera, Hipposideridae.
UUACUAAUGGUGGUGAUAAGCUGAAGAGGGUAGUUAAGCCAUUGAGUAUUAGAAUUUGUUAAAGACAUAGAGUUAAUCAGAAACACCUUACAACUCCUGUAUGCCUCUCAUUCUCUGGUUCGUUUCUGGGAUGGGUUCCUCCUUCCCUAAUCAAGUCACAUAAAUUCAUUGGAAAUCUUCAUAUAUCUAAGGUACUUCACUAAACUUUGCAGAUGUAUGUCAUUUAAAUUAUAAGCAGUCAAUUACUUUCCACUUAAUAAACUUUGUAAUUAUAUCUACUAGGAAGUAUUAAGAGAAAGGCAAGAAAACUUAAGACUUGUGAGACUAAUGCAAGACAAAGAGGAGAUGAUCGGAAAACUGCAAGAGGAAAUCGAUCUGUUAAAUAGAGACCUAGAUGACAUAGAAGAUGAAAAUGAACAACUAAAGCAAGAGAAUAAAACUCUUUUGAAAGUUGUUGGGCAGCUAACAAGGUAGAAGAUUCAAGGCUCAGUGUGGGAAAAAGUAUUUUAAAACUACUGAUUGAAUGUUAUGGCUAAUGCUAGGACAAUAUUCCUAUGCUGCAAUACAUUAAGUAUGUAUAUUUAUUUCCAGUAAACAGUGGAUGUUUAUUUUCAAAAUAUUUCUUUUUCAUUAUUAGUUUCAAAAAAGUAUCUACCUGUUAUUUCACAAAUAAGAAACAUCUUUCAGUUAUUAAAAUGAUAGGUUAUGCCUCUUUUGGCUUUUGUGUGGUAUUCAAAUAAUAUGUGGUUUAAAGUCACAACCAUUUGGAUAUAUUUUAUCUAUGGUAGUGCAUUUUCUCCCUAAAGGAAUAUACAUAGUCUUUGUUUACAUGAAUUCAAAUACUUUUGGGGAAUUACCUGCAAAUGCCUUAUUACUGAUGUGUGUAACCUUUUAUGUGUUGAUGAUUUACUUGUAAAGAUCUUUGUCUACUGUCAUUUGCUCUUUCAACUUAUUCUAAGUAAUUUAGAGUAAUAUAGAGUUACACUAUUUUGUAUAACAGUCAUCUUUAAAAAGGAAAGGUAUUAUAAAAAGUCCCUUAAUAUCAUGUACUAGUUGGCUAAAUAUAAAAUUUAAGAGAAUACUUGAAUUGUGUUAUAAUAAAUUAAAAUGUACUAUUUUGUAUUUGAAUAUUGAAAAAUGUAAAAUCACUUCAACUUCUGAAAAACAUACAAUUCUAAUUUUAAUGUAAAAUUUCUUACGUUGAUACUACCUUUUCUAUUAGUCCAAGGUUUAUAAGUGAACAUGGGAUAUGUAAAGAGUUGUUUAUUCAUCAAGCCUGGAGAGUGUGUACAAUUUCAGUGUAUAAGAAAAAAUCCGUAUUUAAUUAUAUGCAUUAAAAUCAAAACCAAAAUAUUUAUCCACACUUAAAACAUUUAUAUUUACAUUACAAAAGAGUACAUAAACAGAAAUAGUACUUAAAUACAUUGCUUAAUUUCUAACUUGGAGAAUAACAAUGACAUUGUUGUUCUCGUAUCAGAGAAUUCUUGCCUGCCCUACCUCAAAUUUAAGGGAUUUUCUUCCUAACAGUGGAUUUUUAAGAAACAGAAUUAUUUUAAAGACUUAUACAACUUUUCUGUUAAAUAUCAUUAGUGUUUAGAGUUGUUUUAUAUUAUAUUUUCAUGUUGAAUAAGCAAACCCCCUCCUUUAAAAUACAUUAAGAAAUGUUGGCCUGAUAGUUGACUCUCAAACAGUAUACUGAUAUCCUUUUUAUCCAGUUAAUGUACAGAAGUGGCUUGAACAUACCCAUUUGGACCACCCCACUGAUUCUUUUUCCUUCACUUGCCAAGCCCCUUCAUUAUUCACUAUUAGAAAAAUAGGGAAGGAGAGACAGUUGGAAAAAAUGUAGAUAAAUGAUAAAAAUCUGAUGUUGGAUUCUAAAACUCUGUGCAGUGACCUAAGUUACCCCCCAACCCCAACCCCUUUCCAUUUCAGAAGUUUCAACCUUGGCUGAUGAUCAGAAUCACUUGGGUUGCUUAAAAAGAAUUUCCUAGCUGUAGUUUCUAAGUAGUUUUAGGCUGAGACCCUGGACAGAAUUUUUAAAGCUCAUCUUGUUGAUACUGAUCAUCACCUAGGUUUGGAAACAGCUGCCAUUGCCUUUUUCCUUCUAGACCUUCCAUUGGAGACUCUGGAAUUAACAUAAUUUUAGCUACCAGCAUUUUACCCCCUUUUAGUUUAUUUAAUAACCAAUCUGGUCUCUGGGGAAGUUUUCGUGUGUGUGGGACGGGGGAGGGGUAUAAUGUUUUGUUUUUGUUUUUUUUGUUUGUUUUUUUUACUAAAAAGUUUAAUGUUAGAUUACCAAACUUGAUAUAUUUGCAGAAUUACUGCAUAAGGGCAUCCUUUUCAGAGAAUAGUACCCAGCCUGGGAACAGUGAUCCACUACCCACACGUCAAAAGUGGCUUGCCAGGCUCAGUCACCUUCUUCGGCUGUGAGGUAUUCAUCUCCCUUUAGUUAGAUACCCUUAGGUGUGUGGCAGAAAUAUCAGUAUUGCCUAGUUUCCCAGCUACACUUUGGAUAUUGUGAAAAUGCUGUCAGUAUCCAGCCUUAAAAUACAUUACUACAUGAAUGUGUUGGUUUUUCAGUAAAAAAAGUAUUUUGAAUUUUCUAUUUAACCAUAUAUAGUUAAAGGAAUAUUUCAUUUCCCUUCUUAAAAUUAUUCCAGUUAUUAAUAUUUCCAAAGACUGAGCUGUUUUAAAUUUUUUCCUUUCCUUCAGUUUAUCAGGAACAUUUCCAGCAGUGAUCUUUUACAUAAUGGUACCUAGUGCAAAUACAGUGCCUGACAACUUAGGCAAAGCUUUCACAUGCAGUUCUUCCAUCCUUAAAUACACAUUUAUGUCACACAUAGACUUUUACACUGAAUGUUAAAAAAUAAGUAGGAUCUGCUAUACUAUCUUUAAAAUUUAGAAAAGGCAUUGAGAUUUUAAAAAGGUAACUUAUAAAUACAUGUGCACUACCUUAGAAAACUUGGCUAUUGUCAAUAAAGUGCUAGUAUUUGUGAAAUUAUUAGUCCUGUUCAGAAAUAAUAUUUCUUAUAUUUCCUGGGAAUUUGUGGCAUAAUAAAGCUUAUCCAAAGUUCUAA